AUUGAACGCUGGCGGCAGGCUUAACACAUGCAAGUCGAGCGGGGAAGGGUAGCUUGCUACCUAACCUAGCGGCGGACGGGUGAGUAAUGCUUAGGAAUCUGCCAUUUAGUGGGGGACAACAUUCCGAAAGGAAUGCUAAUACCGCAUACGUCCUACGGGAGAAAGCAGGGGAUCUUCGGACCUUGCGCUAAAUGAUGAGCCUAAGUCGGAUUAGCUAGGUGGUGGGGUAAAGGCCUACCAAGGCGACGAUCUGUAGCGGGUCUGAGAGGAUGAGCCGCCACACGGGGACUGAGACACGGCCCAGACUCCUACGGGAGGCAGCAGUGGGGAAUAUUGGACAAUGGGCGGAAGCCUGAUCCAGCCAUGCCGCGUGUGUGAAGAAGGCCUUAUGGUUGUAAAGCACUUUAAGCGAGGAGGAGGCUACUUAGAUUAAUACUCUAGGAUAGUGGACGUUACUCGCAGAAUAAGCACCGGCUAACUCUGUGCCAGCCGCCGCCGUAA
This 501-nucleotide ribosomal RNA is filed under the name uncultured bacterium. Its description in RNAcentral is "partial 16S ribosomal RNA". It matches the Rfam family "Bacterial small subunit ribosomal RNA", at positions 30 to 523 of the family's 1533-position model. The record is from RNAcentral.